AUGGAGAACGACAACGCCUUCCCUUCUGGUGUCAGCAGGGACACUUUGCCCCAGGAUUUCCCCGUCGGGAUGAGGGUCCUCGUGGUGGAGGACGACCCGAACGACCUCGAGCACUUGAUGCAAAUCCUCGAGAGGUGCGGCUACAAAGCGACAGCAAAAGCGUCACCGAGAGAAGCGCUGAAAGAGGUGGAGGAGAACGGAGAGGGCUUCCACUUCGACAUCAUCAUGACCGUCGUGCACGGCGGCGAAGAAGGAGAUGGAUUCGACGGCUUCGACCUCCUCGAGCGUGUUCGGGAUCGUUACCCGGUCAUCAUUUUCUCUGCCGACUAUUCUAAGGAGAUGGUGAUGAGGACAAUCAAUGAAGGCGCCUGCGACUUCAUGCCAAAGCCUAUGUGCUACCAGGAGGUGCGCAAUAUAUGGUUCCAUGUCAACAUGCAGAGGGGAUUAGAAGUGGACGACCCUGACGAGGGGGUAGAAGGACCUAGCAACAAUGAGAAUCCCCCUGAGAUCAAAUAG
This 516-nucleotide ribosomal RNA is filed under the name Triticum aestivum (bread wheat). RNAcentral describes it as "partial small subunit ribosomal RNA". Lineage: Eukaryota; Viridiplantae; Streptophyta; Magnoliopsida; Poales; Poaceae. The record is from RNAcentral.